RNAcentral lists this non-coding RNA (54 nucleotides) under unclassified sequences. RNAcentral describes it as "S15-Flavobacteria ribosomal protein leader". It matches the Rfam family "S15-Flavobacteria ribosomal protein leader". The record is from RNAcentral.
UAUAUUUGCGCCCGAUUAAAAUUACAUAAUAAUCAUUAAACUAAUAUUGGCAUG